UUAGUUUGAUUCUAUCCAAAAGAUUAGUACUAAUUAAAAAUUUUAUGCUUAAUAGUUGUAAAACAUUAUGUAUAUUAAAAUUAUUUAAGUAAUUCUUAUAUAAUUUUUAGCAGAAAUUAAGGUUAUAAUAAUAUGUUAACGCAUGAAAUGGUUUAAAUAUUAUUAUUGGUCAAAGUCGUGCCAGCAACAGCGGUUAAACGGUAAAUAUCUAACAAACAAAAUCUGUAUAGAUAUACUAAAUAUAAAUAAAAGGUAAAAUUUCCUUAAUCUAUUUAGAAUUAAUAAUAUCAACAACAAACUAUAAACCAAAACAAGGAUUAGAUACCCUUUUAUUAUUAGCUUAAAAUAAGAUUGGAGAUUACGAGCAAUAGCUUAAAAACCCAAGAAAUUUGGCGGUGUUUUAUUCAAUCAGGGGGGCCUGUAUUUCAAAUCGAUAACCCACGCUGAACUCUAUCUAGCUUCAAGUAUGAUAGUCUGUGUACUGCCGUUUUUAAUAAGUUCUUAAGGUUUCUUAUAAUAAAUAAUAAAAAAUUAAAAGACAGGUCAAAGUGCAGCUUAUAGCUAGUAUUAUAUGGGCAUUACCUUUAAAUACAUAUAAAACUUAUAAAUUAAAAUUUAUAAUAGAUUUAGUACUUGAUAGUAAUUAUACUAUUAUUUAUAAUAUAAUGAAUAUUGAACUUAAAACAAGCACAUAUCGCCCGUCACUCCUUUAUAUAGGAUAAGUCGUAACAUAGUAGACGUAAUGGAAAUUGCAUCUGU
This 759-nucleotide non-coding RNA is filed under the name Orobdella tsushimensis. The record is from RNAcentral. Lineage: Eukaryota; Metazoa; Annelida; Clitellata; Hirudinida; Orobdellidae.